AUUGUUGUUGCUUGAGUAUCGAAGGAAUCAGAACACCGCUGAAGCCAGGGAAAACGAAAGAAAAAGAAAAAUACGUAUUUUGAUGUCACUUCGAUGAUCAUUCCUUUCUAUAUGAAAAUGGGUGAGUGAAAAGGUAAGAGCUUUAUUAUGAAAUUGUGAAAUUGAUCUGUUAGAGGUAGGUUAUGUUAUUUUCUGUUAGGAGAGUGUCUUUGCAGGUACAUCAACAUUCCUAUUCUUGUCAGUAAGAUAUUAAUUUCUUUUUGCCUCUUUUGAUUUAGUUUUUACUUUUUAUAGUAUGAAAAAAUGGUAAGGAAAAGGGUAAGAAUUUUUUAUUGCUAUUUUGUUAUUAUUAUGAAUUGUGAUGUUUUGAGGUAGGUAAGGUUGGUUUGCUAUAUUCAUUACAUUAACCAUCAUUAGUAGUGCUAAAGCAAUGACAUCUGUAAAAUGCUCACACAAGAGUGGAAACUAUCCUCUGUCUUAUUGGGAGCUCAAUCUCGUCUGCGACCACAACAUUUGAAAUUGGCAGGUUACUAUGCUUAUUGAAGGUUCCUUUCAACUAUACUGAUCAAGUAUAACUCAUUUGGUACAAAAUUGUUUGGCAUAAUACUCAUCCAUCACUUUACAAUAUAAUGAGUGUGAUAAGUUUUAAGAUGGUCUCUUUGCCACUUUAUUCAUCACUUGGAUUAUUGUGUAAGUUAGUUAGCUUUCCGUUAAGUUUUCCUAAAUUGCAUUUUUCUUACCUGAUUGCUUCCAAAUAAUUGAUUGCUAAUUAUGCAUUUUUGCUGCUUUUUUUUUAACCUUUAACUUGUUACUUGAUGCAUUAUAUUCAACCAUCACUGUGUCAUUUGUUAGACACAUAAUUCAAUGUGCAAACGUGAUAAGUGAUAACAAUGUCAAAGCUUUGUGCUGCCAAAGACAGGUUUGUAUGGUUAUUGAGCAAGCUUAUGUAACCCUUUACUAUGUGUCCUGCUCUUUUCUUUGAUAAUUAUGCAUUACACAACUUCCUUAUCCUAUCACUAGGUUUUUGGAUGAACCAUUUUGAUUUUCAUCAUAAGAUUCAUUGCUCUUAUGGCGAAUCAACAUUGAAUUUAUAUAUAACCUUUCAUAAAUAAAUAUAAUUUCUGGUCCAACCAAACAUUCAAUGAAUAAGGUAUUGUCACAGUAGUAACUAAAAGGAAUGAUAAGUAUGAUUAUUAAUUAAUUUGUAGAAUCACUAUGUACUCGAAAAUUUCCAUCUUUCUCUGUGAAUUUGCAUAUCUUACUAGGUAUUGCUGAAUUCAAGAAGAAGAGUGGAGGUCUUCGAGUGAGACUUGCUAGACAAGCAAACACCGCUAUGCUCGGAAAACUGGCUUGGGUACAGAAGAUUCAUAUGUUGCUAAUCGGAAUUUCAUCAACGCUGCUCGAUCAAUAACAAACUCACAACAGAUUGCUAUGUUUGGAAAGGUAGCCUUGAAAGCUAGAUUUGACUUCAAGUAGAUUUUAAUUUUGCUUAGGGUUUUGAUUUUCUGAUUCAGUGUUUUACAUUAAUGUUUAGGAUCUGAUUUUCUGAUUCCGUGUUGAGUAUGUUUAGGAUAUGAUAUUUCUGAUUGUAAUUCUUUUCACAUUUAUGCGUUUUGAUUUGAUUGUUCGUGCCGCUCGAACGAGACCAAAUAUGUUGGUGCAGGUUGGACUUGAACAUAGACACAUGCUGCCUGUUGCAAAACUGAUAGAAAUAGUCAGCAGAAGAAGCCUUGGACAUGAUAGAAUGGUAUCAAU
RNAcentral lists this long non-coding RNA (1755 nucleotides) under Trifolium pratense (red clover). RNAcentral's name for it is "long non-coding RNA (TPRA_LNC004567)". The record is from RNAcentral. Lineage: Eukaryota; Viridiplantae; Streptophyta; Magnoliopsida; Fabales; Fabaceae.